AAACUCUACUCUGACUCCUACUGGCAGUUUGCAGUGACGGACGGUGGCUGACCCAGCUGGGGCACAAUUGCAAGAACCUGAUGCAAAAGGGGUAGACAUUGGAAAUUGGAAGAGAUCUGCGUGAAACAACAGUCAGAGAAAAGAGUUUAAGAGAAAAUCAAGACUGGUGUAAAGGUGCUCUUUACUGAAAUAGACAAAAAAGAAAGCCAUAAAGGGAGAGCUGGAACCAACAAUGGAAAACUCUGAAUGAAUGCGUUGACUUGCAUGAGGACCUGCAGCGUAAAGGAAUCCUGA
Molecule: long non-coding RNA, 294 nt
Filed under: Struthio camelus australis
Lineage: Eukaryota; Metazoa; Chordata; Aves; Struthioniformes; Struthionidae
Description: lncRNA (ENSSCUG00000000606.1)
Source: RNAcentral